Candidatus Muproteobacteria bacterium RBG_16_65_31 is the source of this 394-nucleotide non-coding RNA. The record is from Rfam. Lineage: Bacteria; Pseudomonadati; Pseudomonadota; Candidatus Muproteobacteria.
AUUGCGUUGCAGUGCACUCUUGUAGUCAGUCCGGAAGCCCUCCAGUUUCUUCGGUAGUGACUCCCGCAAUUUCACUUCCAGGAAUGAACUGCAAACCAUCGCAAUUCAACCAAGAGAGAGGUAUUUCAGUGAUUACAGGAACAGUAAAGUGGUUUAACGACGCCAAGGGCUUCGGCUUCAUUACCCCGUCGGACGGCGGCAAGGAUGUGUUCGUGCAUCACUCCGCCAUUCUGGGUAGCGGCUUCAAGACCUUGACCGAGGGACAGCAGGUGAAGUUUGAGCUGCAGCAGGGCCCGAAGGGCCCGUCGGCGGCCAACGUCCAGCCGGCCUGACCAUCAGGCACUGCGCAAGCAGGCUUGAAACCAAGACCCCGCCGUACGGCGGGGUCUUUUUU